GACGAACCGAGCGAACGUUGUUCGGAAUCACUGGGCUUAAAGGGCGCGUAGGCGGGCUGUCAAGUUUGGGGUGAAAUCCCGCGGCUCAACCGUGGAACUGCCUCAAAUACUGACGGUCUCGAGGGAGAUAGGGGCGAGCGGAACUGAUGGUGGAGCGGUGAAAUGCGUUGAUAUCAUCAGGAACUCCGGUGGCGAAGGCGGCUCGCUGGAUCUCUUCUGACGCUGAGGCGCGAAAGCUAGGGGAGCAAACGGG
This 253-nucleotide ribosomal RNA is filed under the name uncultured bacterium. RNAcentral's name for it is "partial 16S ribosomal RNA". It matches the Rfam family "Bacterial small subunit ribosomal RNA", at positions 524 to 776 of the family's 1533-position model. The record is from RNAcentral.